CAGUCGCCGCGGUAAUACGUAGGGUGCAAGCGUUAAUCGGAAUUACUGGGCGUAAAGCGUGCGCAGGCGGUUAUAUAAGACAGAUGUGAAAUCCCCGGGCUCAACCUGGGAACUGCAUUUGUGACUGUAUAGCUAGAGUACGGCAGAGGGGGAUGGAAUUCCGCGUGUAGCAGUGAAAUGCGUAGAUAUGCGGAGGAACACCGAUGGCGAAGGCAAUCCCCUGGGCCUGUACUGACGCUCAUGCACGAAAGCGUGGGGAGCAAACAGGAUUAGAUAUCCCCGUAGUCCCUGUCUCUUAUAC
This 301-nucleotide ribosomal RNA is filed under the name uncultured bacterium. RNAcentral describes it as "partial 16S ribosomal RNA". It matches the Rfam family "Bacterial small subunit ribosomal RNA", at positions 509 to 807 of the family's 1533-position model. The record is from RNAcentral.